UACGUAGGUGGCAAGCGUUGUCCGGAUUUAUUGGGCGUAAAGGGAGCGCAGGCGGUGACUUAAGUCUGAUGUGAAAGCCCACGGCUUAACCGUGGAGGGUCGUUGGAAACUGGUCGACUUGAGUGCAGAAGAGGGAAGUGGAAUUCCAUGUGUAGCGGUGAAAUGCGUAGAGGUAUGGAGGAACACCAGUGGCGAAGGUGGCUUCCUGGUCUGUAACUGACACUGAGGCGCGAAAGCGUGGGGAGCAAACAGGAUUAGAUACCCUGGUAGU
Molecule: ribosomal RNA, 271 nt
Filed under: uncultured prokaryote
Description: partial 16S ribosomal RNA
Rfam family: Bacterial small subunit ribosomal RNA
Source: RNAcentral